ACGGAAGGCAGCAGUGGGGGAUAUUGCGCAAUGGGGGAAACCCUGACGCAGCAACGCCGCGUGCAGGAUGACGGCCUUCGGGUUGUAAACUGUUGUCGCAAGGGAAGAAGACAGUGACGGUACCUUGUGAGAAAGCCACGGCUAACUACGUGCCAGCAGCCGCGGUAAUACGUAGGUGGCAAGCGUUGUCCGGAUUUACUGGGUGUAAAGGGCGCGUAGGCGGGCUUUCAAGUCAGAUGUGAAAUACCGGGGCUUAACUCCGGUGCUGCAUUUGAAACUGUUAGUCUUGAGUAUCGGAGAGGAAAGCGGAAUUCCUAGUGUAGCGGUGAAAUGCGUAGAUAUUAGGAGGAACACCAGUGGCGAAGGCGGCUUUCUGGACGACAACUGACGCUGAGGCGCGAAAGUGUGGGGAGCAAACAGGAUUAGAUACCCUGGUA
This 437-nucleotide ribosomal RNA is filed under the name uncultured Clostridium sp. RNAcentral describes it as "partial 16S ribosomal RNA". It matches the Rfam family "Bacterial small subunit ribosomal RNA", at positions 341 to 792 of the family's 1533-position model. Lineage: Bacteria; Bacillati; Bacillota; Clostridia; Eubacteriales; Clostridiaceae. The record is from RNAcentral.